AAUAUUUCGCAAUGGAGGGAACUCUGACGCAGCGACGCCGCGUGACCUAUGAAAGUCUNCGGAUCNUNAAGCUCUGUCCUUGGGGNAACAGGUCUUCUGCCUUGACGGUACCUAAGGAGGACGCCCCGGCUAACUACGUCGCAGCAGCCUCGGUAAUAGGUAGGGGGCAAGCGUUGUCGGGAAUUAUUGUGCGUAAAGGGUGCGGAGGCGGCCUUUUAAGUCAGAGGUGAAAGUGCACGGCAAAACCGUGGGACUGCAUUUGAAACUGGAGGGCUUGAGUAUAGGAGAGGGUAGUGGAAUUCCCAGUGUAGCGGUGGAAUGCGUAGAUAUUGGGAGGAACACCAGUGGCGAAGGCGACUACCUGGACGAAAACUGACGCUGAGGCACGAAAGCUAGGGGAGCAAAC
This 406-nucleotide ribosomal RNA is filed under the name uncultured bacterium. Its description in RNAcentral is "partial 16S ribosomal RNA". It matches the Rfam family "Bacterial small subunit ribosomal RNA", at positions 360 to 773 of the family's 1533-position model. The record is from RNAcentral.